UGCCAGUAGCAUCUCCAAUCACAGGUGAAA
RNAcentral lists this non-coding RNA (30 nucleotides) under Macaca fascicularis (crab-eating macaque). Lineage: Eukaryota; Metazoa; Chordata; Mammalia; Primates; Cercopithecidae. The record is from RNAcentral. RNAcentral also lists the same sequence under 1 other name.